RNAcentral lists this ribosomal RNA (439 nucleotides) under soil fungal sp. DM039. Its description in RNAcentral is "eukaryotic LSU rRNA". It matches the Rfam family "Eukaryotic large subunit ribosomal RNA", at positions 176 to 630 of the family's 3401-position model. The record is from RNAcentral. Lineage: Eukaryota; Fungi.
GCGGNCUAAGUUCCUUGNNACAGGACAUCACAGAGGGUGAGAAUCCCGUACGUGGUCGCCUGCCUNNNNCGUGUAAAGCCCCUUCGACGAGUCGAGUUGUUUGGGAAUGCAGCUCUAAAUGGGAGGUAAAUUUCUUCUAAAGCUAAAUACCGGCCAGAGACCGAUAGCGCACAAGUAGAGUGAUCGAAAGAUGAAAAGUACUUUGGAAAGAGAGUCAAAUAGCACGUGAAAUUGUUGAAAGGGAAGCGCUUGCAGCCAGACUUGCCCGCAGUUGCUCACCCAGGCUCCGGCCUGGGGCACUCUUCUGCGGGCAGGCCAGCAUCAGUUUGGGCGCUUGGAUAAAGGCCUCUGUCACGUAUCUCUCUUCGGGGAGACCUUAUAGGGGAGGCGUAAUGCAACCAGCCCGGACUGAGGUCCGCGCAUCUNCUAGGAUGCUGAC